RNAcentral lists this ribosomal RNA (253 nucleotides) under uncultured bacterium. Its description in RNAcentral is "partial 16S ribosomal RNA". It matches the Rfam family "Bacterial small subunit ribosomal RNA", at positions 524 to 770 of the family's 1533-position model. The record is from RNAcentral.
UACGUAGGUGGCAAGCGUUGUCCGGAAUUAUUGGGCGUAAAGCGCGCGCAGGCGGCCUCUUAAGUCUGAUGUGAAAGCCCCCGGCUCAACCGGGGAGGGCCAUUGGAAACUGGGAGGCUUGAGUAUAGGAGAGAAGAGUGGAAUUCCGACGUGUAGCGGGUGAAAUGCGUAGAGAUGUGGAGGAACACCAGUGGCGAAGGCGACUCUUUGGCCUAUAACUGACGCUGGACGGCGACGAAAGCGUUGGGGAGCA